GGUUAAGCGACUAAGCGUACACGGUGGAUGCCCUGGCAGUCAGAGGCGAUGAAGGACGUGCUAAUCUGCGAAAAGCGCCGGCGAGGUGAUAUGAACCCUUGACCCGGCGAUGUCCGAAUGGGGAAACCCAGUGCAAUCCGUUGCACUAUCGUUAACUGAAUACAUAGGUUAACGAGGCGAACCGGGGGAACUGAAACAUCUAAGUACCCCGAGGAAAAGAAAUCAACCGAGAUUCCCCCAGUAGCGGCGAGCGAACGGGGAGCAGCCCGGAGUCUGAAUCAGCUUGUGUGUUAGUGGAACGGUCUGGAAAGUCCGACGGUACAGGGUGAUAGUCCCGUACACGAAAGCACACAUGCUGUGAACUCGAAGAGUAGGGCGGGACACGUGGUAUCCUGUCUGAAUAUGGGGGGACCAUCCUCCAAGGCUAAAUACUCCUGACUGACCGAUAGUGAACCAGUACCGUGAGGGAAAGGCGAAAAGAACCCCGGCGAGGGGAGUGAAAAAGAACCUGAAACCGUGUACGUACAAGCAGUGGGAGCCUCUUUAUGGGGUGACUGCGUACCUUUUGUAUAAUGGGUCAGCGACUUAUAUUCUGUAGCAAGGUUAACCGUAUAGGGGAGCCGAAGGGAAACCGAGUCUUAACUGGGCGUUAAGUUGCAGGGUAUAGACCCGAAACCCGGUGAUCUAGCCAUGGGCAGGUUGAAGGUUGGGUAACACUAACUGGAGGACCGAACCGACUAAUGUUGAAAAAUUAGCGGAUGACCUGUGGCUGGGGGUGAAAGGCCAAUCAAACCGGGAGAUAGCUGGUUCUCCCCGAAAGCUAUUUAGGUAGCGCCUCGUGAACUCAUCUUCGGGGGUAGAGCACUGUUUCGGCUAGGGGGCCAUCCCGGCUUACCAACCCGAUGCAAACUACGAAUACCGAAGAAUGUUAUCACGGGAGACACACGGCGGGUGCUAACGUCCGUCGUGAAGAGGGAAACAACCCAGACCGCCAGCUAAGGUCCCAAAGUCAUGGUUAAGUGGGAAACGAUGUGGGAAGGCACAGACAGCCAGGAUGUUGGCUUAGAAGCAGCCAUCAUUUAAAGAAAGCGUAAUAGCUCACUGGUCGAGUCGGCCUGCGCGGAAGAUGUAACGGGGCUAAACCAUGCACCGAAGCUGCGGCAGCGAC
This 1168-nucleotide ribosomal RNA is filed under the name Enterobacter hormaechei. Its description in RNAcentral is "partial 23S ribosomal RNA". It matches the Rfam family "Bacterial large subunit ribosomal RNA", at positions 1 to 1212 of the family's 2925-position model. Lineage: Bacteria; Pseudomonadati; Pseudomonadota; Gammaproteobacteria; Enterobacterales; Enterobacteriaceae. RNAcentral also lists the same sequence under 2 other names. The record is from RNAcentral.